AGAAGGUUAGUCCAAAUAAGACCUCUGAUUUCGGCUCAGAAAAUCAUGGUUAAAGCCCAUGACCUUCAU
Molecule: transfer RNA, 69 nt
Filed under: Kneria sp. SL-2004
Lineage: Eukaryota; Metazoa; Chordata; Actinopteri; Gonorynchiformes; Kneriidae
Description: tRNA-Arg
Rfam family: tRNA
About the family: Transfer RNA (tRNA) molecules are approximately 80 nucleotides in length. Their secondary structure includes four short double-helical elements and three loops (D, anti-codon, and T loops).
Source: RNAcentral